Molecule: transfer RNA, 68 nt
Filed under: Marmota monax (woodchuck)
Lineage: Eukaryota; Metazoa; Chordata; Mammalia; Rodentia; Sciuridae
Description: tRNA.Ala
Source: RNAcentral
GCAGUGUAGCUCAGUGGUAGAGAGUGAGUUUAGCACACAUGAGACCUAGGUUCAAUCCCCAGCAUUCA